RNAcentral lists this ribosomal RNA (253 nucleotides) under uncultured bacterium. RNAcentral's name for it is "partial 16S ribosomal RNA". It matches the Rfam family "Bacterial small subunit ribosomal RNA", at positions 524 to 776 of the family's 1533-position model. The record is from RNAcentral.
UACGAAGGGGGCUAGCGUUGCUCGGAAUCACUGGGCGUAAAGCGCACGUAGGCGGAUUGUUAAGUCAGGGGUGAAAUCCUGGAGCUCAACUCCAGAACUGCCUUUGAUACUGGCGAUCUUGAGUCCGGGAGAGGUGAGUGGAACUGCGAGUGUAGAGGUGAAAUUCGUAGAUAUUCGCAAGAACACCAGUGGCGAAGGCGGCUCACUGGCCCGGUACUGACGCUCAUGUGCGAAAGCGUGGGGAGCAAACAGG